GAAUGGAUUCAUACAAUACAUAUGCAGUUCAGUCAGACAACUCACAAUUGAAAUGUUUAUUAUAACAGCAGAACAUUGUGUUUGGCGGCCAGACUCCAACCUCAUCACUCCACGCAGUUUGGGUUUACAUGAGCUAUUUGGGAGUGAUAAUAAAGUAGCUUCCGCCUGGCCGGAGCCUGCAGGUGGAUGCUGGGGUGGUGGUGGGGCUAACAGCAGGCAGCGAUACAGGUGCAGGGCAGCAGUAGCAUUGACAAGGAAGAGAUGGGGAAAUUGUACAGCUUAAAUAGACCGCCAGAUUGAGGGGGUGUGUUUGGUAAAUGAUACGGGGAGUGAGGCAUGUCACGUGUGUGUACAGCGGUGCAGCUCGAGUUGGCUGCCUGAACUAGCUCGCAGGCGUCGCCCCAUUAGUACUCCCCAACACCUGCAAUCUUCUUUUGCGUAAACCGAAGCAGCCUCAGAAGCAUCUCAUAUUAUAGUUACAGAUGUAUAAUCUAUUUUUUGAUGCUCACAUUUUUACAUGAUUCAAGACCUGACAUAGAAAUGUAAUUGAGUAAAGAAACAAACUGAUAAACUAUACUGUGGGACUGGGUGAUAAUUCAAUAUUAUUAAUUCAUCGUCUCAGAUCUCUGACAUGAAUAUGAAUAUCUUAAAAUAUUCUUAGCAA
This is a long non-coding RNA of Sander lucioperca (pikeperch), 664 nucleotides long. RefSeq lists it as uncharacterized. NCBI's taxonomy places the organism in Eukaryota, Metazoa, Chordata, Actinopteri, Perciformes, Percidae. The transcript is spliced from 3 exons. The record is from RefSeq and is a predicted model, not a curated record.